CGAGAAUAUUUCGCAAUGGGCGAAAGCCUGACGAAGCGACGCCGAGUGAAUGAAGAAGGCCUUCGGGUUGUAAAGUUCUGUCGCCUAAGAACAAGGGUACGAGAGUAAUAUAUUCGUACUUUGAGGGUAUUAGGAAAGGAAGCACCGGCUAACUCCGUGCCAGCAGCUGCGGUAAUACGGAGGGUGCAAGCGUUAGUCGGAAUUACUGGGCGUAAAGGGUGCGUAGGCGGAUAUGUAAGUCAGACGUG
Molecule: ribosomal RNA, 248 nt
Filed under: uncultured organism
Description: partial 16S ribosomal RNA
Rfam family: Bacterial small subunit ribosomal RNA
Source: RNAcentral